UACGUAGGUGACGAGCGUUAUCCGGAAUUACUGGGCGUAAAGCGCACGCAAGCGGUCUAACAAGUCUGGCGUGAAAUCCUCUGGCUUAACCAGGGGCGGUCGCUGGAGACUGUUAAACUUGAGGCGAUGAGAGGGGUGCAGAAUGCCCGGUGUAGUGGUGGAAUGCGUAGAUAUCGGGGGGAAUACCAGUGGCGAAAGCGGCACCCUGGCGUCGUACUGACGCACAUGUGCGAAAGCGUGGGGAGCGAACGGG
Molecule: ribosomal RNA, 253 nt
Filed under: uncultured bacterium
Lineage: Bacteria
Description: partial 16S ribosomal RNA
Rfam family: Bacterial small subunit ribosomal RNA
Source: RNAcentral